CAGCAGCCGCGGUAAUCCGAAGGGGGCUAGCGUUGCUCGGAAUGACUGGGCGUAAAGGGCGCGUAGGCGGAUUGAUCAGUCAGACGUGAAAUUCCUGGGCUCAACCUGGGGGCUGCGUUUGAGACGGUUGAUCUAGAGUUUGGAAGAGGGUCGUGGAAUUCCCAGUGUAGAGGUGAAAUUCGUAGAUAUUGGGAAGAACACCGGUGGCGAAGGCGGCGACCUGGCCCUUGACUGACGCUGAGGCGCGAAAGCGUGGGGAGCAAACAGGAUUAGAUACCCGCGUAGUCCCUGUCUCUUAUAC
This 301-nucleotide ribosomal RNA is filed under the name uncultured bacterium. RNAcentral describes it as "partial 16S ribosomal RNA". It matches the Rfam family "Bacterial small subunit ribosomal RNA", at positions 509 to 807 of the family's 1533-position model. The record is from RNAcentral.